This 278-nucleotide long non-coding RNA is filed under the name Lathyrus oleraceus (garden pea). RNAcentral's name for it is "Pisum sativum (pea) long non-coding RNA (PSAT_LNC006867)". The record is from RNAcentral. Lineage: Eukaryota; Viridiplantae; Streptophyta; Magnoliopsida; Fabales; Fabaceae.
AAAAAUAUUAGUUAGUUUAAAUUAAAUGUUAGCUAAUUUUUUAUGAUUUGUUAUGAUUAAUAGUUAUGGAAAAUACAUUGUUUUACAUUGGAUCCCUCUCACUCCUCUCACGGCAUUCCCUCACCUUUCACUCACAAGAGACAAAAAAUAAUGAUAAAAAAAAUAACAAAAAAAGAAAAUCUCUCUAACGGAUUCACUCCUCUCCCACUACCUCACACAAUCUCUCCACUCACUCACCACACUCCACGCUCUCACUCUCAGCAUAAAGGCAAAUUCCC